GGCCUUUUGAUUUUAAUUUAAGGUCUAACCUGCCCUAUGAGGAUUUAAAUGGCCGCGGUAUUUUGACCGUGCAAAGGUAGCAUAAUAAUUAGUUUUUUAAUUGAAAGCUGGUAUGAAUGGUUGAAUGAGAAAAUGACUGUCUCUUUCUAAAUUUUUUAAAAUUUUAUUUUUAAGUAAAAAAGCUUAAAUUUUAUUAAAAGACGAGAAGACCCUAUAGAGUUUUAUAUAACUAAGUUUUUAAUUUUUUUAUAGUAUUUAAAAAAUAAAAAUUUAUUUUUAUUUGGUUGGGGCGAUUGAAAAAUUUAAUAAACUUUUUUUUAUUUAAACACUAAUUUGUGAAUAAUUGAUCCAUUAUUUAUGAUUACAAGAGAAAAUUACCUUAGGGAUAACAGCGUAAUCUUUUUUGAGAGUUCUAAUCGAAAAAAGGGUUUGCGACCUCGAUGUUGGAUUAAAAUUAAGUUCUGGUGCAGAAGCUAGGAGUUUAGGUCUGUUCGACCUUUAAAAUUU
This 507-nucleotide ribosomal RNA is filed under the name Clytus sp. JL-2014. Its description in RNAcentral is "partial 16S ribosomal RNA". It matches the Rfam family "Bacterial large subunit ribosomal RNA", at positions 1819 to 2596 of the family's 2925-position model. The record is from RNAcentral. Lineage: Eukaryota; Metazoa; Arthropoda; Insecta; Coleoptera; Cerambycidae.